AUGAACAGUCACAGAUAUGCAAUCAAACACCUGCAGUUGAGAUACUAAUUUGCGAACCUAAAUCCCCUUCUCAAGUUAUGUUUAAUAAUCAUCUGGUUUACCAACAAAGAAUAACGUAUUAACAUGCUAACAUCCUAGACGAUGUUGGUGUUAUUCCAAUAUUUAAAAAAUUGUUUAUGCUAUAAAUUAUAUGAAAUGCUUGUCCUUGUACUGUUUUACUUGCACUAUUUUCUAAAGAAUAAUGUAGUUGUAAAUAAAAUCGGAGCAGUAAUUAAAAUAUUAUCACCAUUUGUUUGGAGUUCAGUGUAACAGACAAAAGCUUUUCCAUCUUUCAAAAUUCAGAAUCUUAGCCGGAUACCAUGUUUCUUUAUGAGUACCACCACCUUUAAAGACCUACUUCAUUGAUAGUCAAGUAUUUUCAUUUGUAAGCAUAAAAAAUGACCAGAUAACUGAAAAUGUGAGUUUAACAAACAAAAUAUUACUUAUUAUGACCAAUCCAGUUCUUCGUAGUUAGCAUAGCAAUAAGUGGUUAUAGAAGUACUGCAUAAAGUAAAGGAACUGAAGCAAAGAUUAAACAUGAAAUAAUUUUUUCCACUAACCUCAACAAGGCAACCUUCUACCAUUCCAUUCUCAAAUGCUGUCCCUGAUGCAGUUUUGUAAGCAUCUCCAGAUGCAACAGCUUCGGAGUUGGUUCCACAGUAUGAUUCAGGAACAGUGUUGAUGGUUCUGGCAGUGUCAAAUGCUCUGUGACAUCUUUGAGUCCUAGAUGAGUUCUUUC
RNAcentral lists this long non-coding RNA (778 nucleotides) under Daucus carota (carrot). Its description in RNAcentral is "long non-coding RNA (DCAR_LNC000925)". The record is from RNAcentral. Lineage: Eukaryota; Viridiplantae; Streptophyta; Magnoliopsida; Apiales; Apiaceae.